GACGAACGCUGGCGGCGUGCUUAACACAUGCAAGUCGAACGGAAAGGCCCUGCUUUUGUGGGGUGCUCGAGUGGCGAACGGGUGAGUAACACGUGAGUAACCUGCCCUUGACUUUGGGAUAACUUCAGGAAACUGGGGCUAAUACCGGAUAGGAGCUCCUGCUGCAUGGUGGGGGUUGGAAAGUUUCGGCGGUUGGGGAUGGACUCGCGGCUUAUCAGCUUGUUGGUGGGGUAGUGGCUUACCAAGGCGUUGACGGGUAGCUGGCCUGAGAGGGUGACCGGCCACACGGGAAGUGAGACGCGGUCCAGACGCCUGCGGGCGGCAGGGGUGGGGAAUAUUGGACAAUGGGCGGAGGCCUGAUGCAGGCAUACCGCGUGGGUGAAGAAGGCCUUCGGGUUGGAAAGCCCUGUUGUUGGGAAAGAAAAGCAGCAGGUUAAUACCCAGCUGUUCUGACGGUAACCAAAGAAUAAGCACCGGCUAACUUCGUG
This 488-nucleotide ribosomal RNA is filed under the name uncultured bacterium. RNAcentral's name for it is "partial 16S ribosomal RNA". It matches the Rfam family "Bacterial small subunit ribosomal RNA", at positions 28 to 507 of the family's 1533-position model. The record is from RNAcentral.